CAGGUGGGGACCAGGUCCUUGUCCAUGGUGACAUGUGUACUCAACCAGGUGCGCUACAACCCAGCCCUUUACUUGCUUAUUUUUAUGUGGUUCUUGGGGGGUGAACUCAGCUAGUUCUAACUCUUUCAUCUUUCCUUGAGAAAGACGCCGUCAGUUUCCCAGGUGCCAACCACCAUGCUCCCGUGUAGUGCUGGAGCUCCAUCCCAGGGCCCUGUGCAUGGUGGAGCAAGCACUCUACUCGAUCAUUCCAGUGAGUGUGAAGACAAACCACUUUGCUUUCUUCAGUUGUUAUGUGAUGAUUUUCUUCCUCAGGUAAGGUUCCAGAUGCUACCAUGAUGCCAACCGGAUUUCCCAGGGCAGAGGAUCCCACCAAUGUGUCCUGGAGCCCCACUUCCCCAGAGCCCUGCCCCACUAGGCAAAGAGAGAGACAGUCUGGGAGUGUGCCAACGCCCAUGUUCAGCAGGGAAGCAAUUAAAGAAGCCAGACCUUAUACCUUCUGCACCCCAUAAUAAC
Molecule: long non-coding RNA, 513 nt
Organism: Erinaceus europaeus (western European hedgehog)
Lineage: Eukaryota; Metazoa; Chordata; Mammalia; Eulipotyphla; Erinaceidae
Exons: 3
Source: RefSeq, a predicted model, not a curated record